UACGGAGGGUGCAAGCGUUAUCCGGAUUCACUGGGUUUAAAGGGUGCGUAGGCGGGUAGGUAAGUCAGUGGUGAAAUCCUGGAGCUCAACUCCAGAACUGCCAUUGAUACUAUCUAUCUUGAAUAUUGUGGAGGUAAGCGGAAUAUGUCAUGUAGCGGUGAAAUGCUUAGAUAUGACAUAGAACACCUAUUGCGAAGGCAGCUUACUACGCAUAUAUUGACGCUGAGGCACGAAAGCGUGGGGAUCAAACAGG
Molecule: ribosomal RNA, 253 nt
Filed under: uncultured bacterium
Lineage: Bacteria
Description: partial 16S ribosomal RNA
Rfam family: Bacterial small subunit ribosomal RNA
Source: RNAcentral